This 28-nucleotide small RNA is filed under the name Bombyx mori (domestic silkworm). RNAcentral's name for it is "ovarian small RNA-21677". The record is from RNAcentral. Lineage: Eukaryota; Metazoa; Arthropoda; Insecta; Lepidoptera; Bombycidae.
UACUUGUAUGAAUGGCCUAUGUUCAUUU